This 959-nucleotide non-coding RNA is filed under the name Petrogale brachyotis (short-eared rock wallaby). RNAcentral's name for it is "12S ribosomal RNA". It matches the Rfam family "Bacterial small subunit ribosomal RNA". Lineage: Eukaryota; Metazoa; Chordata; Mammalia; Diprotodontia; Macropodidae. The record is from RNAcentral.
CAAAGGUUUGAUCCUGGCCUUACUGUUAAUUGUAAUUAGAUCUACACAUGCAAGUUUCCGCUGCCCGGUGAGAAUGCCCUCAAAAUUAGAACAAAUUAAGAAUAAAUUAACAGGAGCGGGUAUCAGGCACACUAUAAGUAGCCCAUAACGCCUUGCUUAACCACACCCCCACGGGACACAGCAGUGACUAAUAUUAAGCUAUAAACGAAAGUUUGACUAAAUCAUAAUUAACUAGGGUUGGUAAAUCUCGUGCCAGCCACCGCGGUCAUACGAUUAACCCAAAUUAACAGACAAACGGCGUAAAGCGUGUUUAAGCUAAAACACACAAUAAAGCUAAGAUCUGACUAAACUGUAAUACGUUCUAGUUAACAUCAAAAUACACAACCAAAGUGGCUUUAAUCAUGCUGAACACACUACAGCUAAGGGACAAACUGGGAUUAGAUACCCCACUAUGCUUAGCCUUAAACCAAGAUAAUUAAAUAACAAAAUUAUUCGCCAGAGAACUACUAGCCAACGCUUAAAACUCAAAGGACUUGGCGGUGCCCUAAACCCACCUAGAGGAGCCUGUUCUAUAAUCGAUAAACCCCGAUAAACCCUACCUUUUCUUGCCAAUACAGCCUAUAUACCGCCAUCGUCAGCUAACCCCAACAGGGAUAAAAAGUAAGCGAGAUCAUUAAUCAUAAAAACGUUAGGUCAAGGUGUAGCAUAUGAAAGGGGAAGUAAUGGGCUACAUUUUCUAAAUUAGAACAUAACGAAUUAUCUCAUGAAACCUGAGCAAUAUGAAGGAGGAUUUAGUAGUAAAUUAAGAAUAGAGAGCUUAAUUGAAAUAGGCAAUAGGGCGCGCACACACCGCCCGUCACCCUCCUCGACAAAACCCUAGAAAUAACUAAUAAGACAAAACACAAAAGAGGAGAAAAGUCGUAACAUGGUAAGUGUACUGGAAGGUGCACUUGGAACAU